Molecule: non-coding RNA, 1544 nt
Organism: Megalopta genalis
Lineage: Eukaryota; Metazoa; Arthropoda; Insecta; Hymenoptera; Halictidae
Source: RefSeq, a predicted model, not a curated record
UUUAAUGUUCAAACUUUGUCAGUGUAUUCUAUGGCACGAACUGUCGACGGUUACAAGCAGACUAUGAAAACGAGUCGCGGAGACUCGAACAAUCGUAUCUCCUCCUCCCAAAGCUGUCCAUUCUUGUUUACCAGCCGACGGACAAUUUGAGAGAACUAAACCGCGGAUCUCGUCGACGAGAGAGCUUUUCGCGGAGAGAUGAAGAAGAAGGCCGAGGUGAAAUUCGGUGGUCGACGAAAGGGCGGCGGCGGCGGCGGCGGAGAAAGCGCCGGAGAACAAAGGUCCAAGGGAACACACCUUGGGAACACCUGGGAACGGGAACUCGACACCGGCUGGAAAGGAAAGCACGGCAAUUAAGCUCGGCGACGACGAAGACGCGCGGCGGUGUGCCGCGCCACCGUUGCCGGCGACGAAGGUCUCGUUCGAUCGGUGGCCAGGCACACGACCGCGAGAGUUCCUCUCCGGCGAGCAAACGAGAGGACGGCGUAUCCUCUUACGCGGGUAUUCCAGACGGGAUCCCGGUCGAAUGGGACAGGACAACACGAUGCAACGAGGCGACGCGACGUGGAAGCGGAGGCGCGCCGCGAGAAAAGAGUGUGCCGGCGCGGCGAUUCGCCGGGGAACACGACACGCGUGUCGAACACCGGCACCUACACCACAAUGCGCCCCGGUCUUUUCCUGCUCCACCGAUACGGAUGAAAGAGUAUACUUUAUCCUGUGAACCGGGCUGAACGAGUUCCCGCGUGUCGUUUUUAACAGUCCGAUAUGACGGAUUUAUUAAUAGGCGUGUGUAUCGGAUUUUGAAAUGUUAUUUCUAGACGGUGGAUAUUUUUACGCGCAUCGACUGCAUGAUGCAGCAGAUACAGAGACACACAGAGACACGUGUACGCGUACACGCUUUAUUUUUCUCAGUAAUAAUUUUAACGAGUCGACGACGGACAAGUUAACGGUGUUUGUAAAAUUCUUUUAAACGACUUCAAGACAGCUUUGCAUUUAAAUUACUCGGUUUUCUCGUGUAUGCAAAAGAAGGAAAACCGGCGGUGCAAUUAUAUUAUAGGUUGAAUUCUUUUUAAUCGGAUCAGUCCGGUUCGUUUAGAUUCCGCGGUGCGUGAGAGUUCAUUAUUCUUGUGUUACCCGGACAGAGCUGGCUUCGACAUAAAGUGACACGGUUAAAUGAUCAACGAUCGCGACCGGUUCGUUAUUAGAACCGAUCUUUAAUCGUUCGUAAUCGCCAACGAGUUAUAAUCGUGUAAUUGCAAUCGAUUAAAGCUUCGUUACAAUAACGAAGAGAGUCGCGAUCGUAGAUCGUUUAAUCGGAUUACGUUUUAGCCCGAUCGUUAUGAAUCAGUUACAACAAUCGACGAGUUAUAGUCGUUAAUAAUCUCUGGUUCGGAUAGGGGUGUGGCAAAUUCUACAUUUAUAGAAUAUUAUGGUACUCGUUCCCAAAAUUUUCUUACAAGACAAUAUCACGCAUUGAGUUGAGUAUUAAUGUUAAAGAGAAAAAGAAAUAACUAUUACAUUAUCGAGAAGUGUUACAUCGUAAA